Long non-coding RNA from Oncorhynchus masou masou (cherry salmon), 230 nucleotides. RefSeq lists it as uncharacterized. The record is from RefSeq and is a predicted model, not a curated record. Lineage: Eukaryota; Metazoa; Chordata; Actinopteri; Salmoniformes; Salmonidae. The transcript has 3 exons.
GUAGAGGGAGACCUCAAGCCCAUGAAGGUUGCCCUGAGUCAGGACGACCUAACAGUUCUGUUGAGGAUCCUGAUGGAGAACAUUGGAGAAGCCAGCGGUCUGCAGCCAGACCAACACACCAGCCCCGACACCACAGCCCUGACACACAAGACCACGCUGAUGCUCAAAACAGACUACGCCAAAGAUGGUGUUGAGAACACGGUUGAACUUCCAGAACAACAGGUAGAAGA